AGUCGAGCGGUAGAGAGAAGCUUGCUUCUCUUGAGAGCGGCGGACGGGUGAGUAAUGCCUAGGAAUCUGCCUGGUAGUGGGGGAUAACGUUCGGAAACGGACGCUAAUACCGCAUACGUCCUACGGGAGAAAGCAGGGGACCUUCGGGCCUUGCGCUAUCAGAUGAGCCUAGGUCGGAUUAGCUAGUUGGUGGGGUAAUGGCUCACCAAGGCGACGAUCCGUAACUGGUCUGAGAGGAUGAUCAGUCACACUGGAACUGAGACACGGUCCAGACUCCUACGGGAGGCAGCAGUGGGGAAUAUUGGACAAUGGGCGAAAGCCUGAUCCAGCCAUGCCGCGUGUGUGAAGAAGGUCUUCGGAUUGUAAAGCACUUUAAGUUGGGAGGAAGGGCAGUUGCCUAAUACGUAACUGUUUUGACGUUACCGACAGAAUAAGCACCGGCUAACUCUGUGCCAGCAGCCGCGGUAAUACAGAGGGUGCAAGCGUUAAUCGGAAUUACUGGGCGUAAAGCGCGCGUAGGUGGUUUGUUAAGUUGGAUGUGAAAUCCCCGGGCUCAACCUGGGAACUGCAUUCAAAACUGACUGACUAGAGUAUGGUAGAGGGUGGUGGAAUUUCCUGUGUAGCGGUGAAAUGCGUAGAUAUAGGAAGGAACACCAGUGGCGAAGGCGACCACCUGGACUAAUACUGACACUGAGGUGCGAAAGCGUGGGGAGCAAACAGGAUUAGAUACCCUGGUAGUCCACGCCGUAAACGAUGUCAACUAGCCGUUGGAAGCCUUGAGCUUUUAGUGGCGCAGCUAACGCAUUAAGUUGACCGCCUGGGGAGUACGGCCGCAAGGUUAAAACUCAAAUGAAUUGAC
This 859-nucleotide ribosomal RNA is filed under the name uncultured bacterium. Its description in RNAcentral is "bacterial SSU rRNA". It matches the Rfam family "Bacterial small subunit ribosomal RNA", at positions 60 to 914 of the family's 1533-position model. The record is from RNAcentral.